GAAAAUAUGCUAGCUCAUAGCACACAAACUGUUGGAGGGCAUGAGUGCCUGGGAAAUGCUCGAGUAUGGGGGCACACCACCGGAAAAGGGUCUCUCACACUCCCCCGACUGACCUCUCCUUCCAAAGUGUGGAUUCGGAGAA
Long non-coding RNA from Sphaerodactylus townsendi, 142 nucleotides. RefSeq lists it as uncharacterized. The transcript is spliced from 3 exons. Lineage: Eukaryota; Metazoa; Chordata; Lepidosauria; Squamata; Sphaerodactylidae. The record is from RefSeq and is a predicted model, not a curated record.